This 450-nucleotide ribosomal RNA is filed under the name uncultured bacterium. RNAcentral's name for it is "partial 16S ribosomal RNA". It matches the Rfam family "Bacterial small subunit ribosomal RNA", at positions 338 to 795 of the family's 1533-position model. The record is from RNAcentral.
CCUACGGGGGGCUGCAGUGGGGAAUUUUGGACAAUGGGCGCAAGCCUGAUCCAGCCAUUCCGCGUGCAGGAUGAAGGCCCUCGGGUUGUAAACUGCUUUUGUACGGAACGAAAAGGCUCUGGCUAAUACCUGGGGCUGAUGACGGUACCGUAAGAAUAAGCACCGGCUAACUACGUGCCAGCAGCCGCGGUAAUACGUAGGGUAAAAGCGGUACGCGGAAUUACUGGGGGUAAUGGUGUAGGACAGAGGUGAAAUCCCCGGGCUCAACCUGGGAACUGCAUUGGUGACUGCACGGCUAGAGUACGGCAGAGGGGGAUGGAAUUCCGCGUGUAGCAGUGAAAUGCGUAGAUAUGCGGAGGAACACCGAUGGCGAAGGCAAUCCCCUGGGCCUGUACUGACGCUCAUGCACGAAAGCGUGGGGAGCAAACAGGAUUAGAUACCCGAGUAGUC